GAAAUGCGAUAAGUAGUGUGAAUUGCAGAAUUCAGUGAAUCAUCGAAUCUUUGAACGCACAUUGCGCCCCUUGGUAUUCCAUGGGGCAUGCCUGUUCGAGCGUCAUCUACACCCUCAAGCUCUGCUUGGUGUUGGGCGUCUUUGUCCCGCCUCCGCGCGCGGACUCGCCCCAAAUUCAUUGGCAGCGGUCCUUGCCUCCUCUCGCGCAGCACAUUGCGCUUCUCGAGGUGUUGCGGCCCGCGUCCAGAAAGCAAUCGUUACCGUCUUUGACCUCGGAUCUGGUAGGGAUACCCGCUGAACUUAAGC
Molecule: unclassified non-coding RNA, 306 nt
Filed under: plant metagenome
Description: partial contains 5.8S ribosomal RNA, internal transcribed spacer 2, and large subunit ribosomal RNA
Rfam family: 5.8S ribosomal RNA (bases 1-105)
Source: RNAcentral